AAAAAUCAUUCAAAUUAUGAGAAGUUUACCAAAAUAAUUAUGAAAAAAAAUAAAACAAUAGUAUUAUACCAUACUUUUAUUAAGUAUAAACAUAAGAUUUUGUGGUAUCCACUAGUGUAAAUAUUUUAAAUUGAAGAUCGAAUUCAAUCAUUGUAUUCAUAUAAGGUCAAUGAGUGUAGUUGUAAAAAAUCAUCAAAAUCGGAGUUAAAUUAACCGUUAAAUCGUGAUUUUUCGUUUAUAACCAUCGAAAAGUUUUGUCCCGUUACGUGCUCUCUGAAUGUUUGUUUUUUGCAAUUUUUGGCGUAUGCGAUCUCGAAAUAUAUACAAACGUG
This 332-nucleotide long non-coding RNA is filed under the name Malus domestica (apple). RNAcentral describes it as "long non-coding RNA (MDOM_LNC014540)". Lineage: Eukaryota; Viridiplantae; Streptophyta; Magnoliopsida; Rosales; Rosaceae. The record is from RNAcentral.